AACGCCGCGUGGAGGAUGAAGGUCUUCGGAUUGUAAACUCCUGUCAUCCGGGAGUAAGACCUGGCGAUGAAAAGUCGACAGGGUUGAUAGUACCGGAAGAGGAAGGGACGGCUAACUUCGUGCCAGCAGCCGCGGUAAUACGAAGGUCCCGAGCGUUGUUCGGAAUCACUGGGCGUAAAGGGAGCGUAGGCGGCGCGGUAAGUCAGAUGUGAAAUCCCGGGGCUCAACCUCGGAACUGCAUCCGAUACUGCCGUGCUAGAGGAUUGGAGAGGUAGCUGGAAUUCUUGGUGUAGCAGUGAAAUGCGUGGAUAUCAAGAGGAACACUCGUGGCGAAAGCGAGCUACUGGACAACUCCUGACGCUGAGGCUCGAAGGCCAGGGGAGCGAAAGGGAUUAGAUACCCCUGUAGUCCUGGCAGUAAACGGUGCACGCUUGGUGUGAGGGGAAUCGACCCCCCUCGUGCCGGAGCUAACGCGUUAAGCGUGCCGCCUGGGGAUUACGGUCGCAAGACUA
RNAcentral lists this ribosomal RNA (512 nucleotides) under uncultured Verrucomicrobiota bacterium. RNAcentral describes it as "bacterial SSU rRNA". It matches the Rfam family "Bacterial small subunit ribosomal RNA", at positions 393 to 896 of the family's 1533-position model. Lineage: Bacteria; Pseudomonadati; Verrucomicrobiota. The record is from RNAcentral.